Molecule: ribosomal RNA, 251 nt
Filed under: uncultured bacterium
Lineage: Bacteria
Description: partial 16S ribosomal RNA
Rfam family: Bacterial small subunit ribosomal RNA
Source: RNAcentral
ACGACGACCGGCGGAUGGGUGCGUAACGCGUAUGCAACUUGCCUCACAGUGGAGAAUAACCCGGAGAAAUCCGGACUAAUGUUCCAUACACUCUUAAGUACGCCUGUACAUGAGAGGAAAGAUUUAUCGCUGUGAGAUAGGCAUGCGUCCUAUUAGGUAGUUGGUGAGGUAACGGCUCACCAAGCCGACGAUAGGUAGGGGUGCUGAGAGGCAGAUCCACCACAUAGGAACUGAGACACGGUCCUAACUCC